GACGAACGCUGGCGGCGUGCUUAACACAUGCCAGUCGAACGGAAAGGCCCUGCUUUUGUGGGGUGCUCGAGUGGCGAACGGGUGAGUAACACGUGAGUAACCUGCCCUUGACUUUGGGAUAACUUCAGGAAACUGGGGCUAAUACCGGAUAGGAGCUCCUGCUGCAUGGUGGGGGUUGGAAAGUUUCGGCGGUUGGGGAUGGACUCGCGGCUUAUCAGCUUGUUGGUGGGGUAGUGGCUUACCAAGGCUUUGACGGGUAGCCGGCCUGAGAGGGUGACCGGCCACAGUGGGACUGAGAUAGGGCCCAGAAUCCAACGGGAGGCAGCAGUGGGGAAUAUUGCACAAUGGGCGGAAGCCUGAUGCAGCAACGCCGCGUGCGGGAUGACGGCCUUCGGGUUGUAAACCGCUUUCGCCUGCGACGAAGCGUGAGUGACGGUAAUGGGUAAAGAAGCACCGGCUAACUACGUG
RNAcentral lists this ribosomal RNA (468 nucleotides) under uncultured bacterium. Its description in RNAcentral is "partial 16S ribosomal RNA". It matches the Rfam family "Bacterial small subunit ribosomal RNA", at positions 28 to 507 of the family's 1533-position model. The record is from RNAcentral.